Molecule: ribosomal RNA, 492 nt
Filed under: uncultured microorganism
Description: bacterial SSU rRNA
Rfam family: Bacterial small subunit ribosomal RNA
Source: RNAcentral
GAGUUUGAUCGUGGCUCAGAACGAACGCUGGCGGCGUGGAUAAGACAUGCAAGUCGAACGGGAGAAUUGCUAGCUUGCUAAUAAUUCUCUAGCGGCGCACGGGUGAGUAACACGUGAGUAACCUGCCCCCGAGAGCGGGAUAGCCCUGGGAAACUGGGAUUAAUACCGCAUGGUAUCGAAAGAUUAAAGCAGCAAUGCGCUUGGGGAUGGGCUCGCGGCCUAUUAGUUAGUUGGUGAGGUAACGGCUCACCAAGGCGAUGACGGGUAGCCGGUCUGAGAGGUUGUCCGGCCACACUGGAACUGAGACACGGUCCAGACACCUACGGGUGGCAGCAGUCGAGAAUCAUUCACAAUGGGGGAAACCCUGAUGGUGCGACGCCGCGUGGGGGAAUGAAGGUCUUCGGAUUGUAAACCCCUGUCAUGUGGGAGCAAAUUAAAAAAGAUAGUACCACAAGGGGAAGAGACGGCUAACUCUGUGCCAGCCGCCGCAGU